This 422-nucleotide ribosomal RNA is filed under the name uncultured bacterium. RNAcentral's name for it is "partial 16S ribosomal RNA". It matches the Rfam family "Bacterial small subunit ribosomal RNA", at positions 359 to 773 of the family's 1533-position model. The record is from RNAcentral.
GAAUGUUGGACAAUGGGGGCAACCCUGAUCCAGCCAUGCCGCGUGUGUGAAGAAGGCCUUCGGGUUGUAAAGCACUUUUGGCAGGGAAGAAAAGGCUCUGGCUAAUACCUGGAGCUGCUGACGGUACCUGCAAAAUGAGCCCCGGCUAACUACGUGCCAGCAGCCGCGGGAAUACGUAGGGUGCAAGCGUUAAUCGGAAUUACUGGGCGUGCAGCGUGCGCAGGCGGUUCGGCAAGAAGGAUGUGAAAUCCCAGGGCUUAACCUUGGAACUGCAUUCUUAACUGCCGGGCUAGAGUAUGUCAGAGGGGGGUAGAAUUCCGCGUGUAGCAGUGAAAUGCGUAGAGAUGCGGAGGAAUACCGAUGGCGAAGGCAGCCCCCUGGGAUAAUACUGACGCUCAUGCACGAAAGCGUGGUGAGCAAAC